RNAcentral lists this ribosomal RNA (923 nucleotides) under Agaricus bisporus var. avellaneus. RNAcentral's name for it is "LSU rRNA". It matches the Rfam family "Eukaryotic large subunit ribosomal RNA", at positions 43 to 953 of the family's 3401-position model. The record is from RNAcentral. Lineage: Eukaryota; Fungi; Basidiomycota; Agaricomycetes; Agaricales; Agaricaceae.
UCAAUAAGCGGAGGAAAAGAAACUAACAAGGAUUCCCCUAGUAACUGCGAGUGAAGCGGGAAAAGCUCAAAUUUAAAAUCUGGCGGUCUUUGGCCGUCCGAGUUGUAAUCUAGAGAAGUAAUGCCCGUGCUGGACCGUGUAUAAGUCUCCUGGGAUGGGGCGUCAUAGAGGGUGAGAAUCCCGUCUUUGACACGGACUACCAGUGCAUUGUGGUAUGCUCUCAAAGAGUCGAGUUGUUUGGGAAUGCAGCUCAAAAUGGGUGGUAAAUUCCAUCUAAAGCUAAAUAUUGGCGAGAGACCGAUAGCGAACAAGUACCGUGAGGGAAAGAUGAAAAGAACUUUGGAAAGAGAGUUAAACAGUACGUGAAAUUGCUGAAAGGGAAACGCUUGAAGUCAGUCGCGUUGGCCAGGGAUCAGCCUUGCUUUUGCAUGGUGUACUUUCUGGUUGACGGGUCAGCAUCAAUUUUGACCGCUGGAAAAGGGCCUGGGGAAUGUGGCAGCUUCGGCUGUGUUAUAGCCCCUGGUCGCAUACAGUGGUUGGGAUUGAGGAACUCAGCACGCCGCAAGGCCGGGUUUCGACCACGUUCGUGCUUAGGAUGCUGGCAUAAUGGCUUUAAGCGACCCGUCUUGAAACACGGACCAAGGAGUCUAACAUGCCUGCGAGUAUUUGGGUGGAAAACCCGAGUGCGCAAUGAAAGUGAAAGUUGAGAUCCCUGUCGUGGGGAGCAUCGACGCCCGGACCAGAACUUUUGGGACGGAUCCGCGGUGGAGCAUGUAUGUUGGGACCCGAAAGAUGGUGAACUAUGCCUGAAUAGGGUGAAGCCAGAGGAAACUCUGGUGGAGGCUCGUAGCGAUUCUGACGUGCAAAUCGAUCGUCAAAUUUGGGUAUAGGGGCGAAAGACUAAUCGAACCAUCUAGUAGCUG